RNAcentral lists this ribosomal RNA (253 nucleotides) under uncultured bacterium. Its description in RNAcentral is "partial 16S ribosomal RNA". It matches the Rfam family "Bacterial small subunit ribosomal RNA", at positions 524 to 776 of the family's 1533-position model. The record is from RNAcentral.
UACGUAGGGUGCGAGCGUUGUCCGGAAUUAUUGGGCGUAAAGAGCUUGUAGGCGGUUUGUCGCGUCUGCUGUGAAAAUCCGGGGCUCAACCCCGGACUUGCAGUGGGUACGGGCAGACUGGAGUGCAGUAGGGGAGACUGGAAUUCCUGGUGUAGCGGUGAAAUGCGCAGAUAUCAGGAGGAACACCGAUGGCGAAGGCAGGUCUCUGGGCUGUAACUGACGCUGAGGAGCGAAAGCAUGGGGAGCGAACAGG